GGCGCUUCAUUAUUGAUUUCUUAGCUACUUGCCUUCUGGCUGAGAUUCAGCCAUCUAUAUCUCUUUUUCGAUGCAUUUUAUUUUCAAGAGAUAUCUUUAUGUCAAUGAUUGGUGGUAUGCCUCCGUCCAAAAGGAGAUUUCUGUUUUAAUCCAAGGUGCCCCUUCGUCUGUUCAUAGUUGGAAGGAGUGCUUCCUUUAUGUUUCUUGUUCGGCCAUAACUGACUAGGGAUUUGCUUGCUAGGGCCGACCUAGAGAGUCUGCCCUUCAAGCUCCUAUGUUGGGAGACAUAG
RNAcentral lists this long non-coding RNA (290 nucleotides) under Elaeis guineensis (African oil palm). Its description in RNAcentral is "long non-coding RNA (EGUI_LNC035068)". The record is from RNAcentral. Lineage: Eukaryota; Viridiplantae; Streptophyta; Magnoliopsida; Arecales; Arecaceae.